AGAACGAACGCUGGCGGCAGGCUUAACACAUGCAAGUCGAACGCCCCGCAAGGGGAGUGGCAGACGGGUGAGUAACGCGUGGGAAUCUACCCAGAACUUCGGAACAACACAGGGAAACUUGUGCUAAUACCGGAUACGCCCUACGGGGGAAAGAUUUAUCGGUUUUGGAUGAGCCCGCGUUGGAUUAGCUAGUUGGUGAGGUAAAAGCUCACCAAGGCGACGAUCCAUAGCUGGUCUGAGAGGAUGACCAGCCACAUUGGGACUGAGACACGGCCCAAACUCCUACGGGAGGCAGCAGUGGGGAAUCUUGCGCAAGUGGGCGAAAGCCUGACGCAGCCAUCGCCGCGUGAAUGGAUGGAAGGUCUUAGGAUUAGUUAAAAUUCGUUUCGACCGGGACGAUAAUGGACGGUACCGGAGAAGACGCCCGGUACUACGUCGUA
RNAcentral lists this ribosomal RNA (440 nucleotides) under uncultured soil bacterium. RNAcentral describes it as "bacterial SSU rRNA". It matches the Rfam family "Bacterial small subunit ribosomal RNA", at positions 26 to 507 of the family's 1533-position model. The record is from RNAcentral.